AUGAUCAAGGUUGAUUUAGCCAAAGCUUUUGAUAAAAUUGAGUGGAAUUUUAUUAUGAGUCUUGCAUGUAAAGGGCUUCAUGGUCAUUUUAUUAAUUUGAUGCAUGCUUCUAUAGUUAUGCCAACCUUUCUAGUUAUCAUAAAUGGCCAAGCUUGUGGAUGAUUCCAAAGCAGCAGAGGUAUAAGAGAAGGAUGCCCUUUAUCUCCUUAUUUAUUUGUUCUGGCCAUCAAUGAACUUCUUAUAUCCCUGCAAGAGGCCAUGUGCUCCAAUCAACUAGCUGGGACAAUCUUGGGACCAAGCCAUCCUCCUAUUCACUCCCUCAUGUUUUCAGAUAGUUUAUUACUUUGUGGCCAAGCUAGCACCACUAAAGCAACCCAAAUACAUAGAAUUCUUUGA
Molecule: ribosomal RNA, 396 nt
Filed under: Triticum aestivum (bread wheat)
Lineage: Eukaryota; Viridiplantae; Streptophyta; Magnoliopsida; Poales; Poaceae
Description: partial small subunit ribosomal RNA
Source: RNAcentral